Molecule: ribosomal RNA, 497 nt
Filed under: uncultured bacterium
Lineage: Bacteria
Description: partial 16S ribosomal RNA
Rfam family: Bacterial small subunit ribosomal RNA
Source: RNAcentral
GAUGAACGCUGGCGGCGUGCCUAAUACAUGCAAGUCGAGCGAACAGACGAGGAGCUUGCUCCUCUGACGUUAGCGGCGGACGGGUGAGUAACACGUGGAUAACCUACCUAUAAGACUGGGAUAACUUCGGGAAACCGGAGCUAAUACCGGAUAAUAUAUUGAACCGCAUGGUUCAAUAGUGAAAGACGGUUUUGCUGUCACUUAUAGAUGGAUCCGCGCCGCAUUAGCUAGUUGGUAAGGUAACGGCUUACCAAGGCAACGAUGCGUAGCCGACCGGAGAGGGUGAUCGGCCACACUGGAACUUAGACACGGUCCAGACUCCUACGGGAGGCAGCAGUAGGGAAUCUUCCGCAAUGGGCGAAAGCCUGACGGAGCAACGCCGCGUGAGUGAUGAAGGUCUUCGGAUCGUAAAACUCUGUUAUUAGGGAAGAACAAAUGUGUAAGUAACUAUGCACGUCUUGACGGUACCUAAUCAGAAAGCCACGGCUAACUACGUG